This 1269-nucleotide ribosomal RNA is filed under the name Bacteroides xylanisolvens. RNAcentral's name for it is "bacterial SSU rRNA". It matches the Rfam family "Bacterial small subunit ribosomal RNA", at positions 254 to 1533 of the family's 1533-position model. Lineage: Bacteria; Pseudomonadati; Bacteroidota; Bacteroidia; Bacteroidales; Bacteroidaceae. The record is from RNAcentral.
GGGGUAACGGCCCACCAAGACUACGAUGGAUAGGGGUUCUGAGAGGAAGGUCCCCCACAUUGGAACUGAGACACGGUCCAAACUCCUACGGGAGGCAGCAGUGAGGAAUAUUGGUCAAUGGACGAGAGUCUGAACCAGCCAAGUAGCGUGAAGGAUGACUGCCCUAUGGGUUGUAAACUUCUUUUAUAUGGGAAUAAAGUAUUCCACGUGUGGGAUUUUGUAUGUACCAUAUGAAUAAGGAUCGGCUAACUCCGUGCCAGCAGCCGCGGUAAUACGGAGGAUCCGAGCGUUAUCCGGAUUUAUUGGGUUUAAAGGGAGCGUAGGUGGAUUGUUAAGUCAGUUGUGAAAGUUUGCGGCUCAACCGUAAAAUUGCAGUUGAAACUGGCAGUCUUGAGUACAGUAGAGGUGGGCGGAAUUCGUGGUGUAGCGGUGAAAUGCUUAGAUAUCACGAAGAACUCCGAUUGCGAAGGCAGCUCACUAGACUGCAACUGACACUGAUGCUCGAAAGUGUGGGUAUCAAACAGGAUUAGAUACCCUGGUAGUCCACACAGUAAACGAUGAAUACUCGCUGUUUGCGAUAUACAGUAAGCGGCCAAGCGAAAGCAUUAAGUAUUCCACCUGGGGAGUACGCCGGCAACGGUGAAACUCAAAGGAAUUGACGGGGGCCCGCACAAGCGGAGGAACAUGUGGUUUAAUUCGAUGAUACGCGAGGAACCUUACCCGGGCUUAAAUUGCAUUUGAAUAAUCUGGAAACAGGUUAGCCGCAAGGCAAAUGUGAAGGUGCUGCAUGGUUGUCGUCAGCUCGUGCCGUGAGGUGUCGGCUUAAGUGCCAUAACGAGCGCAACCCUUAUCUUUAGUUACUAACAGGUCAUGCUGAGGACUCUAGAGAGACUGCCGUCGUAAGAUGUGAGGAAGGUGGGGAUGACGUCAAAUCAGCACGGCCCUUACGUCCGGGGCUACACACGUGUUACAAUGGGGGGUACAGAAGGCAGCUACCUGGUGACAGGAUGCUAAUCCCAAAAACCUCUCUCAGUUCGGAUCGAAGUCUGCAACCCGACUUCGUGAAGCUGGAUUCGCUAGUAAUCGCGCAUCAGCCAUGGCGCGGUGAAUACGUUCCCGGGCCUUGUACACACCGCCCGUCAAGCCAUGAAAGCCGGGGGUACCUGAAGUACGUAACCGCAAGGAGCGUCCUAGGGUAAAACUGGUAAUUGGGGCUAAGUCGUAACAAGGUAGCCGUACCGGAAGGUGCGGCUGGAACACCUCCUUUCU